Molecule: ribosomal RNA, 1363 nt
Filed under: Staphylococcus aureus M1134
Lineage: Bacteria; Bacillati; Bacillota; Bacilli; Caryophanales; Staphylococcaceae
Description: bacterial SSU rRNA
Rfam family: Bacterial small subunit ribosomal RNA
Source: RNAcentral
AGAGUUUGAUCCUGGCUCAGGAUGAACGCUGGCGGCGUGCCUAAUACAUGCAAGUCGAGCGAACGGACGAGAAGCUUGCUUCUCUGAUGUUAGCGGCGGACGGGUGAGUAACACGUGGAUAACCUACCUAUAAGACUGGGAUAACUUCGGGAAACCGGAGCUAAUACCGGAUAAUAUUUUGAACCGCAUGGUUCAAAAGUGAAAGACGGUCUUGCUGUCACUUAUAGAUGGAUCCGCGCUGCAUUAGCUAGUUGGUAAGGUAACGGCUUACCAAGGCAACGAUGCAUAGCCGACCUGAGAGGGUGAUCGGCCACACUGGAACUGAGACACGGUCCAGACUCCUACGGGAGGCAGCAGUAGGGAAUCUUCCGCAAUGGGCGAAAGCCUGACGGAGCAACGCCGCGUGAGUGAUGAAGGUCUUCGGAUCGUAAAACUCUGUUAUUAGGGAAGAACAUAUGUGUAAGUAACUGUGCACAUCUUGACGGUACCUAAUCAGAAAGCCACGGCUAACUACGUGCCAGCAGCCGCGGUAAUACGUAGGUGGCAAGCGUUAUCCGGAAUUAUUGGGCGUAAAGCGCGCGUAGGCGGUUUUUUAAGUCUGAUGUGAAAGCCCACGGCUCAACCGUGGAGGGUCAUUGGAAACUGGAAAACUUGAGUGCAGAAGAGGAAAGUGGAAUUCCAUGUGUAGCGGUGAAAUGCGCAGAGAUAUGGAGGAACACCAGUGGCGAAGGCGACUUUCUGGUCUGUAACUGACGCUGAUGUGCGAAAGCGUGGGGAUCAAACAGGAUUAGAUACCCUGGUAGUCCACGCCGUAAACGAUGAGUGCUAAGUGUUAGGGGGUUUCCGCCCCUUAGUGCUGCAGCUAACGCAUUAAGCACUCCGCCUGGGGAGUACGACCGCAAGGUUGAAACUCAAAGGAAUUGACGGGGACCCGCACAAGCGGUGGAGCAUGUGGUUUAAUUCGAAGCAACGCGAAGAACCUUACCAAAUCUUGACAUCCUUUGACAACUCUAGAGAUAGAGCUUUCCCCUUCGGGGGACAAAGUGACAGGUGGUGCAUGGUUGUCGUCAGCUCGUGUCGUGAGAUGUUGGGUUAAGUCCCGCAACGAGCGCAACCCUUAAGCUUAGUUGCCAUCAUUAAGUUGGGCACUCUAAGUUGACUGCCGGUGACAAACCGGAGGAAGGUGGGGAUGACGUCAAAUCAUCAUGCCCCUUAUGAUUUGGGCUACACACGUGCUACAAUGGACAAUACAAAGGGCAGCGAAACCGUGAGGUCAAGCAAAUCCCAUAAAGUUGUUCUCAGUUCGGAUUGUAGUCUGCAACUCGACUACAUGAAGCUGGAAUCGCUAGUAAUCGUAGAUCAG